Molecule: non-coding RNA, 87 nt
Organism: Stegostoma tigrinum
Lineage: Eukaryota; Metazoa; Chordata; Chondrichthyes; Orectolobiformes; Stegostomatidae
Product: small Cajal body-specific RNA 18
Exons: 1
Source: RefSeq, a predicted model, not a curated record
UGGUCGAUGAUGACUAGCCCACUGCGCAAUCCGAGUUCCACAAUGAACCUGAAUGAUGGAAUUAGUGCUGGAAAAUGUCUGAGACCC